ACGCUAGCUACAGGCUUAACACAUGCAAGUCGAGGGGAAACGACAUCGAAAGCUUGCUUUUGAUGGGCGUCGACCGGCGCACGGGUGAGUAACGCGUAUCCAACCUGCCCACCACUUGGGGAUAACCUUGCGAAAGUAAGACUAAUACCCAAUGACGUCUCUAGAAGACAUCUGAAAGAGAUUAAAGAUUUAUCGGUGAUGGAUGGGGAUGCGUCUGAUUAGCUUGUUGGCGGGGUAACGGCCCACCAAGGCGACGAUCAGUAGGGGUUCUGAGAGGAAGGUCCCCCACAUUGGAACUGAGACACGGUCCAAACUCCUACGGGAGGCAGCAGUGAGGAAUAUUGGUCAAUGGACGAGAGUCUGAACCAGCCAAGUAGCGUGCAGGAUGACGGCCCUAUGGGUUGUAAACUGCUUUUAUAAGGGAAUAAAGUGAGUCUCGUGAGACUUUUUGCAUGUACCUUAUGAAUAAGGACCGGCUAAUUCCGUGCCAGCAGCCGCGGUAAUACGGAAGGUCCGGGCGUUAUCCGGAUUUAUUGGGUUUAAAGGGAGCGUAGGCCGGAGAUUAAGCGUGUUGUGAAAUGUAGACGCUCAACGUCUGCACUGCAGCGCGAACUGGUUUCCUUGAGUACGCACAAAGUGGGCGGAAUUCGUGGUGUAGCGGUGAAAUGCUUAGAUAUCACGAAGAACUCCGAUUGCGAAGGCAGCUCACUGGAGCGCAACUGACGCUGAAGCUCGAAAGUGCGGGUAUCGAACAGGAUUAGAUACCCUGGUAGUCCGCACGGUAAACGAUGGAUGCCCGCUGUUGGCCUGAAUAGGUCAGCGGCCAAGCGAAAGCAUUAAGCAUCCCACCUGGGGAGUACGCCGGCAACGGUGAAAC
This 877-nucleotide ribosomal RNA is filed under the name uncultured bacterium. Its description in RNAcentral is "bacterial SSU rRNA". It matches the Rfam family "Bacterial small subunit ribosomal RNA", at positions 33 to 900 of the family's 1533-position model. The record is from RNAcentral.